UACGGAGGAUGCGAGCGUUAUCCGGAUUUAUUGGGUUUAAAGGGUGCGUAGGCGGCUUAGUAAGUCAGCGGUGAAAUUUUGCAGCUUAACUGUAACAGUGCCGUUGAUACUGCCAGGCUAGGAUUUGGUUGCUGUGGGUGGAAUGUGUGGUGUAGCGGUGAAAUGCUUAGAUAUCACACAGAAUAUCGAUUGCGAAGGCAGCUCACAAAGCCAAGAUUGACGCUGAGGCACGAAGGUGUGGGGAGUCAAACA
This 252-nucleotide ribosomal RNA is filed under the name uncultured prokaryote. RNAcentral's name for it is "partial 16S ribosomal RNA". It matches the Rfam family "Bacterial small subunit ribosomal RNA", at positions 524 to 775 of the family's 1533-position model. The record is from RNAcentral.